This 493-nucleotide unclassified non-coding RNA is filed under the name Halopeplis aff. amplexicaulis MP-2017. Its description in RNAcentral is "partial external transcribed spacer". Lineage: Eukaryota; Viridiplantae; Streptophyta; Magnoliopsida; Caryophyllales; Amaranthaceae. The record is from RNAcentral.
GGUGGGAAGGGUUGAGCUGCGAAGCAGUACGUGAUGGCGUGUGAGUGGUAUUUGGUUUGUGUGGUUGGCGGGCUCCGUGCUUGUGCAUUGAACCGUUCACUAGCAGACCUCUUCAUUGUUUGCUCCGAGUGCAUGGUGUGCCUCGGGCGAGGAGUGGUCCCUGUGUUGAAUUCCUAAUGACGGUAUUGAUGUUGUCCUUUGAAAGUCUUAUUUCCGCUUUACAUCCCUUAACGUGAUGUCCAGCGGGACACUGAGGCUGUGGGAUCCUUAUCCGCUCAUCAAGCAAAAACAAGCGCGAUGCGACAGGAUGAUGGUCUCAAGUCGGGCCCUAGGAUGCAGAAUGUUGUGUGGGAGUCGAUGUGAAUUCGUCGCACACCCAGCCUGGCGUUGUACGCCGACGACGGAUGACAUUGGAGUGCGAUCUGACCCUUUCUUUAUUGAAAGGGCUCACUCGUACCGAUGUCGACCGAGGAGUGCUACCUGGUUGAUCCUG